GUGGGGAAUCUUAGACAAUGGGCGCAAGCCUGAUCUAGCCAUGCCGCGUGAUCGAUGAAGGCCUUAGGGUUGUAAAGAUCUUUCAGUGGGGAAGAUAAUGACUGUACCCACAGAAGAAGCCCCGGCUAACUCCGUGCCAGCAGCCGCGGUAAUACGGAGGGGGCUAGCGUUGUUCGGAAUUACUGGGCGUAAAGCGCACGUAGGCGGAACAGAAAGUCAGAGGUGAAAUCCCAGGGCUCAACCUUGGAACUGCCUUCAAAACUCCUGGUCUGGAGUUCGAGAGAGGUGAGUGGAAUUCCGAGUGUAGAGGUGAAAUUCGUAGAUAUUCGGAGGAACACCAGUGGCGAAGGCGGCUCACUGGCUCGAUACUGACGCUGAGGUGCGAAAGCGUGGGGAGCAAACAGGAUUAGAUACCCUUGUAGUCC
Molecule: ribosomal RNA, 425 nt
Filed under: uncultured bacterium
Lineage: Bacteria
Description: partial 16S ribosomal RNA
Rfam family: Bacterial small subunit ribosomal RNA
Source: RNAcentral